This 171-nucleotide ribosomal RNA is filed under the name uncultured Tulasnella. Its description in RNAcentral is "5.8S ribosomal RNA". It matches the Rfam family "5.8S ribosomal RNA". From Rfam's summary of the family: 5.8S ribosomal RNA (5.8S rRNA) is a component of the large subunit of the eukaryotic ribosome. It is transcribed by RNA polymerase I as part of the 45S precursor that also contains 18S and 28S rRNA. Lineage: Eukaryota; Fungi; Basidiomycota; Agaricomycetes; Cantharellales; Tulasnellaceae. The record is from RNAcentral.
ACAACUAUCAACAACGGAUCUCUUGGCAUCCCACUCGAUGAAGAACGCAGCGAAUUGCGAUAAGUAAUGUGAAUUGCAGAAUUCAGUGAAUCAUCGAAUCUUUGAACGCACCUUGCGCCCUCUGGUAUUCCGGAGAGCAUGCCCGGUUGAGUAUUAUGAUCAUCUCAAACC